RNAcentral lists this long non-coding RNA (2513 nucleotides) under Capra hircus (goat). Its description in RNAcentral is "lncRNA (ENSCHIG00010018660.1)". Lineage: Eukaryota; Metazoa; Chordata; Mammalia; Artiodactyla; Bovidae. The record is from RNAcentral.
GAACGUGGAUCCCCGAGGAACCUUACUGAGGGCUGAACUCUGGCCGGGGAGUACAGUUACCCUGGCAAUGACGCUCUCCCGGUGCGAUAGAAGGUGGUAGGCGGGAGGAGACGGGACGGGGCUUCCGGCGGAAGUGACUAGCCUUCCACCGACUGUCAGGGAAGAUGCUGCGUUCAGUGUGGCAGUGGCUUUGCCUCGGACUGUACAGCCUCCUGCUGGGACAGGCGGAGGCCCCGACACCCGUGGAGCCGCCAGAGCGGAGCCGACCGUAUGCGGUGCUGCGUGGGCAGAACCUGGUGUUGAUGGGAACCAUCUUCAGCCUCCUGCUGGUGACCGUGAUCCUCAUGGCAUUCUGUGUCUACAAGCCCAUUCGGCGCCGGUGACAGCCGAGCAAGCAAGUCCUUCCACGAGCAUCUGGGAACGGAAUAAGUUGUGUUGCACGCGGGUCAGUGGAGAAGCUGGAAUCAGAACGUUACUGUUUGGAAAUGGUCUUUGGUCUGGACAGUUGGUAAAUUCUGAACAAUUUAGAGAAAACAUCUAGCCGUUGUCUUAUCCUAAUGCUGGAAGGCAAGCACUGGGCCCUGAGUCUGCUGCUCGGUGUCUCUUCCUAUAUCUGGCUGUGCUUGUUGAGAGUAAGACCUGAAGUUCCGGGGCUCAGCGUAAAGAUGGAGUGCUCACGAGAAAGAAAGCAUAACUUUGUGAGUGGUGAAAAAACCACCCUGGAUAGGAAAGUUUGUUUGAAACUGUUAAGGAAGACUUGACCUGUUGACAUUCCCUACUUAAGAAUCAUUUGGUCACAAUGGGAUAAGAAUAACAAAUGUUUUUAAUUAUCCAGAGGUGGCCUCGAUGCCCCAUUUGCAAAGCAGUGUCCGCCGUGGGGAAUGUAGGCGGUACCCCCCCACCCCACUCCUCACGCUGCAUAGAGCUCUGUGCUCAGAUGCCUCCACUGAAGUCAGGGCAGCUUUCUGAUUCUCAGCAGGCGCUCUUUUCCGCCCUGAGUGGGGAGGGCGCAGGACGCAGCAGAUGUGCGUAUUCACUGUCAAGGCCAAGGGGCAAGUAGGUGUGUGUUUACACAAUUUAAUUUCAACUUUGAAAAUGCUGCUAUUCAUUUGCACUGUUGGUGAACUGGAACAUCCCCCCCUGGAAAUACUUUCAUUCUUAACAGUAUUUAUUUUAAGGGUGCUAGGCUUAUCUGUGUUACUAAAUUAAAACGCUUAUCUUAUUUUGUGCUCCAUUCUAGCACAGCACUGAUUUUUUUUUUUUAAACAACCUGAACUAAAUGUGAAAUAACUGANNNNNNNNACUAUAACUGACCUAACGAUUUUGUGUGUAACCCUGGACUGAGCCACUGACACGUCCACUGUUCUGUGCUUCUGAGCAAAAUGCCCAUUAAAACUAAAGUAAAAUCUUAAGUGAUGUUUUAUCCUAGUCAUUAUUUCACAAGCAUCUAAAAUGCAGGUGUGUGUGUGUGUUGGAAUCUGAUUUAAUCUCUUAAGGAGGCACUGUGAAGUAGAGCUCCAAGCUACUCAGAAAACUGAGCCCUAAGUAAUCUCUCAAGCUGGGUCAGGGGCCAGAGGGCCUGGAUUCCUGUUCCGGCUCCAGUUACAAACAGGCUUGACUUCUCUUAGAGCCUCAGUUUUCUUAUCUAUAAAACAGAGAUAUGCACACUUUAUCUUUCUUUAUUCUACUGAGGAUCAGGUGAUGUGAAAACUAACAGACGGAAUUGGGAUCACCACUGCUGGCCUGUGACUGGAGGGCGGAGUGGUGGGGACUCUGAGCGGCAGGGACAGAGUCAUCACAGGAGCCCACAUCCCCACGUCAUCUGGGAUGCCAUGUUUUGUUAUCUGCCUAAACACUUAUUGCCAUUUUUAGCAUUUUAAAAGGAAACAGUAAAAACUUAUNNNNNNNNNNNNNNNNNNNNNNNNNNNNNNNNNNNNNNNNNNNNNNNNNNNNNNNNNNNNNNNNNNNNNNNNNNNNNNNNNNNNNNNNNNNNNNNNNNNAAACUUAUAAGACUCAUAAACCUUGUGCCCUGCCUUUUGCCCAGUAAUCACCAGCCAGGUAAACCAAUCAUAUUUGGUUUUCUGAAACAAACUGGCCAUAGUCAUUCUAUGGAAAACCCAGCCUGCAUCUUCAUCCCAAUGUUACCAUCUGUUCAGUAUGAGAAAGUAGUAAAGGUGAAAGAAAAUAUCAAUUCUGGAAGCAAGAGAGAAAUAAACUGAAAACUUUUAUGCCCAGCUGCUGUUUUCAAGUGGAAUUAUUCUCCUGGCCUUCUGCUUCAGGGGUGCAGGGGGCAGGGGUCAAACCCUAGGUUCCCUAAGCUGAACUGUACUCAGGUUAUUUGCCACGCCCCCCCCAGCAAACACAUUAUACUAACAUACACAAAAAUGGGUUAUUUUAGAAAAUACUGAUCUUAACAUCCUCUAAAGUUGAGACUAAGAAGUUUGCAGGUUGUUGCUUGGAUUAUAGGGGCUUGGAGUCUUAUUAGUUGAUUACACAUUUUUCCCUUGCAGGAU